AUGGGCGCAAGCCUGAUCCAGCCAUGCCGCGUGAGUGAUGAAGGCCCUAGGGUUGUAAAGCUCUUUCACCGGUGAAGAUAAUGACGGUAACCGGAGAAGAAGCCCCGGCUAACUUCGUGCCAGCAGCCGCGGUAAUACGAAGGGGGCUAGCGUUGUUCGGAAUUACUGGGCGUAAAGCGCACGUAGGCGGAUUUAAGUCAGGGGUGAAAUCCCAGAGCUCAACUCUGGAACUGCCUUUGAUACUGGGUAUCUCGAGUAUGGAAGAGGUGAGUGGAAUUCCGAGUGUAGAGGUGAAAUUCGUAGAUAUUCGGAGGAACACCAGUGGCGAAGGCGGCUCACUGGUCCAUUACUGACGCUGAGGUGCGAAAGCGUGGGGAGCAAAACAGGAUUAGAUACCCUGGUAGUCCACGCCGUAAACGAUGAAUGUUAGCCGUCGGCAAGCAUGCUUGUCGGUGGCGCAGCUAACGCAUUAAACAUUCCGCCUGGGGAGUACGGUCGCAAGAUUAAAACUC
RNAcentral lists this ribosomal RNA (512 nucleotides) under uncultured bacterium. RNAcentral describes it as "bacterial SSU rRNA". It matches the Rfam family "Bacterial small subunit ribosomal RNA", at positions 371 to 902 of the family's 1533-position model. The record is from RNAcentral.